UAUAUUUAAGUGUAUGAUGCACUUAAACUUUUGAUGUUUAGAGGGACAGUUUAAAUCUGUUGAAUAUAA
This 69-nucleotide transfer RNA is filed under the name Pseudothericles compressifrons. RNAcentral's name for it is "tRNA-Gln". Lineage: Eukaryota; Metazoa; Arthropoda; Insecta; Orthoptera; Thericleidae. The record is from RNAcentral.